RNAcentral lists this unclassified non-coding RNA (379 nucleotides) under soil metagenome. RNAcentral's name for it is "partial contains 5.8S ribosomal RNA, internal transcribed spacer 2, and large subunit ribosomal RNA". The stretch from base 1 to 120 matches the Rfam family "5.8S ribosomal RNA", at positions 35 to 154 of the family's 154-position model. The record is from RNAcentral.
GAUGAAGAACGUAGCGAAAUGCGAUAAGUAAUGUGAAUUGCAGAAUUCAGUGAAUCAUCGAAUCUUUGAACGCACCUUGCACCCUUUGGAAUUCCGAAGGGUAUGCUCGUUUGAGUGUCAUUGUACUCUCACACUUCCAAUCUUUGGAUUGGGAGCGGUGGACUUGGGUGUUGCUGCUUACUGUGGCUCACCUCAAAUCGAUUCGUGCACCUCUUGGUUGGACAUAGUACGGCGUGAUAAGUGUCUUCGCCGGCACCUCAGUAGAGGGUGGCUGAUCAGGAGCUCUGUGCUUCAAACCGUCCUCGGACAACAACUGACAACUUGACCUCAAAUCGAGUAGGACUACCCGCUGAACUUAAGCAUAUCAAUAAGCGGAGGA